CAGUAGCCGCGGUAAAACGGAGGGUGCAAGCGUUAUCCGGAUUUAUUGGGUUUAAAGGGUCCGUAGGCGGAUCUGUAAGUCAGUGGUGAAAUCUCACAGCUUAACUGUGAAACUGCCAUUGAUACUGCAGGUCUUGAGUAAAUUUGAAGUGGCUGGAAUAAGUAGUGUAGCGGUGAAAUGCAUAGAUAUUACUUAGAACACCAAUUGCGAAGGCAGGUCACUAAGAUUUAACUGACGCUGAUGGACGAAAGCGUGGGGAGCGAACAGGAUUAGAUACCCCGGUAGUCCCUGUCUCUUAUAC
RNAcentral lists this ribosomal RNA (301 nucleotides) under uncultured bacterium. RNAcentral's name for it is "partial 16S ribosomal RNA". It matches the Rfam family "Bacterial small subunit ribosomal RNA", at positions 509 to 807 of the family's 1533-position model. The record is from RNAcentral.